AUCCGGGUUGCGGACAGUGUCUGGUGGGUAGUUUGACUGGGGCGGUCUCCUCCUAAAGAGUAACGGAGGAGCACGAAGGUUGGCUAAUCCUGGUCGGACAUCAGGAGGUUAGUGCAAUGGCAUAAGCCAGCUUGACUGCGAGCGUGACGGCGCGAGCAGGUGCGAAAGCAGGUCAUAGUGAUCCGGUGGUUCUGAAUGGAAGGGCCAUCGCUCAACGGAUAAAAGGUACUCCGGGGAUAACAGGCUGAUACCGCCCAAGAGUUCAUAUCGACGGCGGUGUUUGGCACCUCGAUGUCGGCUCAUCACAUCCUGGGGCUGAAGUAGGUCCCAAGGGUAUGGCUGUUCGCCAUUUAAAGUGGUACGCGAGCUGGGUUUAGAACGUCGUGAGACAGUUCGGUCCCUAUCUGCCGUGGGCGCUGGAGAACUGAGGGGGGCUGCUCCUAGUACGAGAGGACCGGAGUGGACGCAUCACUGGUGUUCGGGUUGUCAUGCCAAUGGCACUGCCCGGUAGCUAAAUGCGGAAGAGAUAAGUGCUGAAA
RNAcentral lists this ribosomal RNA (539 nucleotides) under Escherichia coli. RNAcentral's name for it is "partial 23S ribosomal RNA". It matches the Rfam family "Bacterial large subunit ribosomal RNA", at positions 2238 to 2776 of the family's 2925-position model. RNAcentral also lists the same sequence under 1 other name. The record is from RNAcentral. Lineage: Bacteria; Pseudomonadati; Pseudomonadota; Gammaproteobacteria; Enterobacterales; Enterobacteriaceae.